Molecule: ribosomal RNA, 801 nt
Filed under: uncultured bacterium
Lineage: Bacteria
Description: bacterial SSU rRNA
Rfam family: Bacterial small subunit ribosomal RNA
Source: RNAcentral
CAGUCGAACGAGAGAAGAGAAGCUUGCUUUUCUGAUCUAGUGGCGGACGGGUGAGUAACACGUGAGCAAUCUGCCUUUCAGAGGGGGAUACCGAUUGGAAACGAUCGUUAAUACCGCAUAACAUAAUUGAACCGCAUGAUUUGAUUAUCAAAGAUUUAUCGCUGAAAGAUGAGCUCGCGUCUGAUUAGCUAGUUGGUAAGGUAACGGCUUACCAAGGCGACGAUCAGUAGCCGGACUGAGAGGUUGAUCGGCCACAUUGGGACUGAGACACGGCCCAGACUCCUACGGGAGGCAGCAGUGGGGAAUAUUGCACAAUGGAGGAAACUCUGAUGCAGCGAUGCCGCGUGAGGGAAGAAGGUUUUAGGAUUGUAAACCUCUGUCUUCAGGGACGAAAAAUGACGGUACCUGAGGAGGAAGCUCCGGCUAACUACGUGCCAGCAGCCGCGGUAAUACGUAGGGAGCGAGCGUUGUCCGGAAUUACUGGGUGUAAAGGGAGCGUAGGCGGGAUCGCAAGUCAGAUGUGAAAACUAUGGGCUUAACCCAUAAACUGCAUUUGAAACUGUGGUUCUUGAGUGAAGUAGAGGUAAGCGGAAUUCCUAGUGUAGCGGUGAAAUGCGUAGAUAUUAGGAGGAACAUCAGUGGCGAAGGCGGCUUACUGGGCUUUAACUGACGCUGAGGCUCGAAAGCGUGGGGAGCAAACAGGAUUAGAUACCCUGGUAGUCCACGCCGUAAACGAUGAUUACUAGGUGUGGGGGGACUGACCCCUUCCGUGCCGCAGCAAACGCAAUAAGUAAUCCACCU